RNAcentral lists this ribosomal RNA (220 nucleotides) under uncultured bacterium. RNAcentral describes it as "partial 16S ribosomal RNA". It matches the Rfam family "Bacterial small subunit ribosomal RNA", at positions 57 to 305 of the family's 1533-position model. The record is from RNAcentral.
GCAAGUCGAGCGCACCCUUCGGGGCGAGCGGCGAACGGGUGAGUAACGCGUAGGUAUCUACCUAGUAGUGGGGAAUAACCAUUGGAAACGAUGGCUAAAACCGCAUACGCCCUGAGGGGGAAAACUGAGGUGCUAUUAGAGGAGCCUGCGUUAGAUUAGCUAGUUGGUGAGGUAAUGGCUCACCAAGGCGACGAUCUAUAGCUGGUUUGAGAGGAUGAUC